GACGAACGCUGGCGGCGUGCUUAACACAUGCAAGUCGAACGGAAGGGCCCUGCUUUUGUGGGGUGCUCGAGUGGCGAACGGGUGAGUAACACGUGAGUAACCUGCCCUUGACUUUGGGAUAACUUCAGGAAACUGGGGCUAAUACCGGAUAGGAGCUCCUGCUGCAUGGUGGGGGUUGGAAAGUUUCGGCGGUUGGGGAUGGACUCGCGGCUUAUCAGCUUGUUGGUGGGGUAGUGGCUUACCAAGGCUUUGACGGGUAGCUGGCCUGAGAGGGUGACCGGCCACAUUGGGACUGAGAUAUGGCCCAGACUCCUACGGGAGGCAGCAGUGGGGAAUAUUGCACAAUGGGCGGAAGCCUGAUGCAGCAACGCCGCGUGCGGGAUGACGGCCUUCGGGUUGUAAACCGCUUUCGCCUGUGACGAAGCGUGAGUGACGGUAAUGGGUAAAGAAGCACCGGCUAACUACGUG
This 468-nucleotide ribosomal RNA is filed under the name uncultured bacterium. RNAcentral's name for it is "partial 16S ribosomal RNA". It matches the Rfam family "Bacterial small subunit ribosomal RNA", at positions 28 to 507 of the family's 1533-position model. The record is from RNAcentral.